Molecule: long non-coding RNA, 237 nt
Filed under: Zostera marina
Lineage: Eukaryota; Viridiplantae; Streptophyta; Magnoliopsida; Alismatales; Zosteraceae
Description: long non-coding RNA (ZMAR_LNC004865)
Source: RNAcentral
CCCCACCCACCUUCAUUAAUGCUCCUCGAUCCUCGGGCCCAUCCUCCUUCCCUUUCCUAUAAAUAUGCUGCUUGAGUCUCCUAUCUUUUGCAUCACCUCUCCUUUCCGCUAUGAGUGUUCGAGAUAUCCUCGAGGAGUAUGGUCGCGAAGUGCAGCUUCAGCAUGCCACCUGGGCCCUGUGUCUGCUGUCGCCUGCUGGUGUUCCCAAUAGUGUGGCCGUGGCCGAGACUCAGCGCC